Molecule: transfer RNA, 74 nt
Filed under: Macrohaltica subplicata
Lineage: Eukaryota; Metazoa; Arthropoda; Insecta; Coleoptera; Chrysomelidae
Description: tRNA-Gln
Source: RNAcentral
UAUAUUUUAGUAUUUAAUGUACAUUAAAUUUUGAUUUUAAAAGAAGAGAUCCUAAGUCUCUAAAUAUAAUUCGG